CGAAGACCCGAUUAUUAAGAGAUCGGAUGGGGGGAGAGGCCCUCGCAACGGUCCUUAUGUGCCCCCACAGUCCUGUUAGAAACAGGAGAAAAAUCUCGUCCUAACAUUAGCUGAAAUUGACUGUGUCGGGAACAGGAGGAGAACCUCAUCCUGACACAAACGAAGAUCUGAUCGUUUAAGAUCGGAUGAGGAAAAAAACCUCCUCAACGGCUCCUCUACACCCUUACAACCCCAUUAGGAGCAGAGGGAAAAUCCUCGUCUAAAUAUAUAUAUAAAAAAAGAAAGAGAAAAAGGAAAAGCGAUGAGCUACGUCAGAGAUAAGAAAAAAAUGAACUACAUCUAAGACACAAGGGACCUUGUCUCAACGAGGAAGAAAACUCUUGUCAAAAAUCCUCAGUCUCUAAGGGGGAACCCAACACUAGCAGGAGAAAAUAGACUUUCUCAAAGUAACGAGAAGUUUGGGCCCCAAGCUCGAACAUCGGGAGAAAGCGUCAAAUUCGAAUGGCCUCGAAAAGAUCUUCAAUCAUGAUCAAAAAGGACGAAUCAACGUGACGAUGAUCAGGAACCUUCAAACAACGUCGAUAUCGAAUAAGACAAAAGAUAAGAGAAGCUUGGUAAAUGAUAACUCAAAGCAAGAAUAGACAAGGUAAUGAGAAAAUUUCUUUUCAUUUCAUUAGUAAAGAGUGCAUUAGUAAAGGGAGGCGACUUCGGUUGUGAAAUUUUUUUUGUACUUCUUUUAUGCGAAAUCCGAACUCGAAAGUAGGGGGACUAGUGUUGGGUAUAAAAUAAUCCUAGCCGAAGUUCGUAAGAGGCCAACCCUCCCAGGACUCUUCCGGCUUCUGAUCUUGUGCGGCG
RNAcentral lists this long non-coding RNA (855 nucleotides) under Elaeis guineensis (African oil palm). Its description in RNAcentral is "long non-coding RNA (EGUI_LNC074751)". The record is from RNAcentral. Lineage: Eukaryota; Viridiplantae; Streptophyta; Magnoliopsida; Arecales; Arecaceae.